RNAcentral lists this unclassified non-coding RNA (377 nucleotides) under uncultured Actinomycetes bacterium. RNAcentral's name for it is "uncultured actinobacterium contains 16S-23S intergenic spacer region". The record is from RNAcentral. Lineage: Bacteria; Bacillati; Actinomycetota; Actinomycetes.
UCCGGUUUGUCACCGGCGGUCUCCUUAGAGUGCCCAACUUAAUGCUGGCAACUAAGGACAAGGGUUGCGCUCGUUGCGGGACUUAACCCAACAUCUCACGACACGAGCUGACGACAGCCAUGCACCACCUGUGAUCCUGCCCCGAAGGGAAGCCCUGUUUCCAGGACGGUCAGGAACAUGUCAAGCCCAGGUAAGGUUCUUCGCGUUGCGUCGAAUUAAACCACAUGCUCCGCUGCUUGUGCGGGCCCCCGUCAACUCAUUUGAGUUUUAACCUUGCGGCCGUACUCUCCAGGCGGUCAACUUAAUGCGUUAGCUACGGCACGGAACCCGUCGAUAGAGCCCCACACCUAGUGCCCAACGUUUACGGCGUGGACUAC